Macaca mulatta (Rhesus monkey) is the source of this 1630-nucleotide non-coding RNA. The record is from the annotation of a RefSeq genome assembly. NCBI's taxonomy places the organism in Eukaryota, Metazoa, Chordata, Mammalia, Primates, Cercopithecidae.
AGGAGAGUCCAAACCCACCAACAUACAUGAUCCUCAGUCCUUUUAAUAAAGCACGUUCAACCCUUCUCAGAGUGGCCUUGGGUGGUUGCCUCCAAGUGCCGUGCAGAGGCAAAAAGGAAGGCAGUUCAGGGCCCUAAUCAGAGGCUUCCUGGCAGGACAAGGUCCUGGCAUCAGCAUUUGCUGCUGCAACUCUGAAGUGCAGGGUGCGAGACUACUGUGGGACUGCCCCCUCCGAGGGCUGAGCCGGCUGACUCCAGGGUCAGCUUCCUGGACAUUUGCAGUGCCUCUGCUGCAGGCUUGAGCUCUCCAUGCCCCUGGCUGUCUUCUGCAGACGGCCUGCUCUCAGCUGCCACAGAGGGCGCUGGAGAACGGGCCUGAGCAGAGAAGCAGGAGCUCCUCUGCAGGUCCUCCCAGCACCACCCCUCUGAGAGGAAGGUUUGGGAGUCCCGCAAGGUAGAUCCUCAGUCACUUCUCUCUGCCUGUGACUCAAGAAGACCAGCUCCCCCCACUGCCGUCUGUGCCAGAGAUCACUUCCUUGUUGAGUAGAACCUGAGUUUUGAGAGGGUCUUCUGCUCCUCUUCAUCUGGUCCCUUUCCUUCCACAACCCCAGAGAGGAAGGCAUGCGGUGGACCCUAGCCGUGCUUCUAGCUUUCCUGUCUCCUGAUAAACACCUUGAUGCAGAUGUUUCACCCAAGCCCACUAUAUUUCUUCCUUCCAUUGCUGAAACAAACCUCCAUAAGGCUGGAACAUACCUUUGUCUUCUUGAGAAUUUUUUCCCCGAUGUUAUUAAGAUACAUUGGCAAGAAAAGAAGAGCAACACGAUUCUGGGAUCCCAGGAGGGGAACACCGUGAAGACUAACGACACAUACAUGAAAUUUAGCUGGUUAACGGUGCCAGAAAAGUCACUGGAUAAAGAGCACAGAUGUAUCGUCAGACAUGAGAAUAAUAAAAAUGGAGUUGAUCAAGAAAUUAUCUUUCCUCCAAUAAAGACAGAUGUCACCACAAUGGAUCCCAAAGACAAUUGUUCAAGAGAUGCAAAUGAUGCACUACUGCUGCAGCUCACAAACACCUCUGCAUAUUACAUGUACCUCCUCCUGCUCGUCAAGAGUGAGGUCUAUUUUGCCAUCAUCGCCGUCUGUCUGCUUAGAAGAACGGCUGUCUGCUGCAAUGGAGAGAGAUCGUAACAGACGGUGGCACAAGGACGCCAUCUUUUUCUCAUCGGCUAUUGUCCCUAGAAGUGUCUUCUGAGGAUCUACUUGGGCUUUCUUUCCGGGUUUGGGCUAUUUCAGUUCUCAUGUGUGUACUAUUCUAUCAUUGUUGUAUAAUGGUUUUCAAACCAGUGGGCACACGGAAAACCUCACUCUGUGAUGACAAUGAGGAAUAGCCAUGGCGGUCUCCAGCACCACUCUCUCCAUAUUCUCCACAGCUCCUCCAGCCAACCCAAAUAGCCACUGCCAUGGUGUAGACAGUCCGCGGCUUCUAGCCUUGUCCCUCCCUUAGUGUUCUUUAAUCAGAUAACUGCCUGGAAGCCUUUCAUUUUACACACCCUGAAGCAGCCUUCUUUGCUAGUUGAAUUAUGUGGUGUGUUUUUCAUAAUAGGCAAAAUAAAUUUUAAAAGAUGAAAAGUUGA